Molecule: non-coding RNA, 2603 nt
Organism: Macaca mulatta (Rhesus monkey)
Lineage: Eukaryota; Metazoa; Chordata; Mammalia; Primates; Cercopithecidae
Source: RefSeq, a predicted model, not a curated record
GUCUGCGCUGGGAGAGCGUCUGGUUAAUCGUUGACUGGAAACUCGCUUUUCUAGGCUGUCCCAGGUCCUCGAGAGGCAGCCGGGGCUGGAGAACAGGCUUCGUGCCCCGCUGGUGCCUCCAGUGCUCUUUCCUGUAGUCCUUUGAAACACCCCAGUGGACAGAGAUGGAUUUGGGGUGCGGGGCGGCGGGGUUGUGUGCUAGCAGCAGAUGGGCCUGGGGUCAGGCAGAGAAUGGGGGCCACGCAGCUGAGCAGACUGGAACAUACUGCUUGUGUUGCGUGUUAUGCUGUGGGCAGGACCGGCCCAGGGGCUGCAGGCUCUGCGCUCCCUCCCCUGGGAUACUCACCUUCGGUGACAAGUCCCCAGAUAACUGUGAGAUGGGGCCAAAACACCUAAGGGCCCCAAAGAAAGCAAAAAAAUAAGAUGCCAAGGCCACGUGUCUUAGAGCAGGAGGGGUUUUGAAGACUAUAGAAGGCCGUGUGGCCAGCGGACUUGGUCAGGAGCAACUGUCAGGACUGAGCACUCCCCAAACCCAUACGCAGGGGUUCCGGGACCCUUGCCCCUCGAGGUGCUGUUCCAUUUACAACCUAUAUAUAGGUUUACCUCGUCAGGCACACAGACAAGCAUUUCAGUGUUUUCCUGUUGAUUUAUUUUUAUGUGUAUUAGAACAUAACUUGUUUUUUUUCAGUUGCCUUCUAUUUAUGGCAUAUGGGAUGGUUUUUCUAUUUAUGGUGGAGAUACGAAGUUUCCUUUGAAGAUAAAUUUGUUCAAGUAAAGGAGUGGGUUGAUUUAAAGGGAAAUAUUAAGUAAAGAAUAGUACGGGAGCCGCACGGGGAUGGCAGGUGGCACGUGGAUGCCCGCACUUUGGAAAUUGUGUGCUGGAGGAAUUCAGAGAUGAGAAAAAGAAAGGAUCAUGGAAGAGACGGGUGGGGUGCGGGAGGAGUGAAACCCAGCUAGGUGGAGAUGGAGGGUGAGUCUGUACUUACAGGUCCAGAAAUGUGGGCACGAUUCUUGGUGUGGUCUAUUUUGGCUGCAGCGGGCGAGUCCCGCAGGGAACGGAGGGUAGGGUGGGACUGUAUUGUGGAGGACCAUCAGUCUCAGGGUGUGGCCUCUGAACUUUUCAGGAGGCAGUGGGAGCCAUUGAGGGUGCUUGAGGAGGGGAGUGUUUCUUGACGGUCCUUGAAGAGUCUCGUUUUACCAGGACUGAAGGCAGAUAACUAGUCAGGGGCCCAAGUAGAGAGGGUUUCAGAAGCCGACUAGGGCCAUAGCCAAAGUCAAGCCGCCCAGCCACCCAGGCCAUCCCGUACUGGCUUGGAGGGCAGCCUAGAGGCGCUGGAGUGAGGCGGGUCGGAGGUGGACGAGCUGAGCCCUGGCCCUCUGUGGGGAGGCUGUGGGUGAUGGGCAGGUCAGAAGUUGUGCAUGGAGUCCUGGACGGGAGGGGCAGCUUCUCCUGGCUGGGCUGGGAGGAGAUGGUAAGAGCUACUCAGUGACCUCUUCCUGGAGCCUCCUGGCCUAGCACGGAGUGUUGUGGAAUGUUCUGGAAUGUUCUGGAAUGUUCUGGGGGAAGUGGGUGCGGUCGGCUGAAGGAAGCUCCCUCUGGGCCAGAGUUCAUGUGGGAGGAGGAAGUCCGCUGUUUCCUGCCCUCUGGUUUGGCCCAGAUGCCCUUGGCUGACGGCCCCAGGCCAGGAUUUCAUUCAUCAUCAGGGUCUGCCGUUGUUUUAAGCUCCCAUUUCAUCCUUUGAGUGUGGAGAAGUUCACCAGCAUUCAGGGGCCAGCUUGGUUUAAAAAACAGCCUGACUUCAGUGAAAGCUCAAAGUGCACUUGGCUAUUUCUACGGCUUCAGCACUCCUAGCUCUGCCCAAGAGGGUGCCAGCGAGCUGUGACCUCAGGGCAGUCACUAACCUGCCCAGACCAGUUUCCCUCCCGCCCAGCUACCCUCGUUCCCUGAGUGAGUUUCCUCUUCCUUUCUGGCACUUCUGGGAGGACAGUUCUCUCCCUGGAAUGCCGCCUUCUGCCUGCCAAGUCCCUCCUUUUCCCUCUGAGCCCUGCACCACGUUCUUCUCUUUGAAGCCCCCCGGGACUGCCACAGAGCAAGAUCUUCCCUGCGCCUUCUCUUUGCUCCCGGUGUUCUUUGCAUGGCCCCAGCAUUUAUUGGAGCCACUGUCCGAGUCAUUCGGGAUUCAUCUCGUGCACCGUGCACUACGCUCUGGUUCUUUGGAGGCAGCACAAUGGAGGUGACCCUUCUCCCCAUGCACCUUCCAGAGACUGACACGUAAACCAAGAAAUAAACACAGAUUCCAGCUGUGAUGCCUGUGAUGAAGAAUAAGAAUUGGGGCCCAGUAUUUGUUGACCUUUCAACGUUGUGCAGUCCCAAGGGAGGGCUGCGUGGUGGGGAUGGGAACACAGGCAUGGACGUACUGUGCCUUCCUCCUUUGGCAAACAGGGAUGACGAGCUCCUGUGGUUAAUCCACACAAAAGCGUUCGGGACGGUGUGACACCCAAAGGUAAUAUUAGUGGCAUGGCAAGAUUCUUCCCCAUUGAUGAUGAUGGAUGUGGUGUUUUUUUUCUCUAUGAAGAAGAAAAUUUAAAUUUUUUUCAUUGCA